GACGAACGCUGGCGGCGUGCUUAACACAUGCAAGUCGAACGGAAAGGCCCUGCUUUUGUGGGGUGCUCGAGUGGCGAACGGGUGAGUAACACGUGAGUAACCUGCCCUUGACUUUGGGAUAACUUCAGGAAACUGGGGCUAAUACCGGAUAGGAGCUCCUGCUGCAUGGUGGGGGUUGGAAAGUUUCGGCGGUUGGGGAUGGACUCGCGGCUUAUCCGCUUGUUGGUGGGGUAGUGGUUUACCAAGGCUUUGACGGGUAGCCGGCCUGAGAGGGGGACCGGCCACAAUGGGACUGAGAGACGGCCCAGACGCCUACGGGAGGCAGCAGUCGGGAAUAUUACACAAUGGGCGGAAGCCUGAUGUAGCAGCGCCGCGUGCGGGAUGACGGCUUUCGGGGUGAAAACCGCUUUCGCCGGUGACGAAGCGUGAGUGACGGUAAUGGGUAAAGAAGCACCGGCUAACUACGUG
Molecule: ribosomal RNA, 468 nt
Filed under: uncultured bacterium
Lineage: Bacteria
Description: partial 16S ribosomal RNA
Rfam family: Bacterial small subunit ribosomal RNA
Source: RNAcentral